AACACAGGUGCUGCAUGGCUGUCGUCAGCUCGUGUCGUGAGAUGUUGGGUUAAGUCCCGCAACGAGCGCAACCCUCGCCCUUAGUUGCCAGCAUUGAGUUGGGCACUCUAAGGGGACUGCCGGUGAUAAGCCGAGAGGAAGGUGGGGAUGACGUCAAGUCCUCAUGGCCCUUACGGGCUGGGCUACACACGUGCUACAAUGGUGGUGACAGUGGGCAGCGAACGAGCGAUCGUGAGCUAAUCUCCAAAAGCCAUCUCAGUUCGGAUUGCACUCUGCAACUCGAGUGCAUGAAGUUGGAAU
This 300-nucleotide ribosomal RNA is filed under the name uncultured Alphaproteobacteria bacterium. RNAcentral's name for it is "bacterial SSU rRNA". It matches the Rfam family "Bacterial small subunit ribosomal RNA", at positions 1031 to 1332 of the family's 1533-position model. Lineage: Bacteria; Pseudomonadati; Pseudomonadota; Alphaproteobacteria. The record is from RNAcentral.